Molecule: ribosomal RNA, 190 nt
Filed under: Bacillus sp. ISL-101
Lineage: Bacteria; Bacillati; Bacillota; Bacilli; Caryophanales; Bacillaceae
Description: partial 16S ribosomal RNA
Rfam family: Bacterial small subunit ribosomal RNA
Source: RNAcentral
UCUUCGGAGAGUUUGAUCCUGGCUCAGGACGAACGCUGGCGGCGUGCCUAAUACAUGCAAGUCGAGCGAAUCGAUGGGAGCUUGCUCCCUGAGAUUAGCGGCGGACGGGUGAGUAACACGUGGGCAACCUGCCUAUAAGACUGGGAUAACUUCGGGAAACCGGAGCUAAUACCGGAUACGUUCUUUUCUC